AUUGAACGCUGGCGGCAUGCCUUACACAUGCAAGUCGAACGGUAACGGGCCUUCGGGUGCCGACGAGUGGCGAACGGGUGAGUAAUACAUCGGAACGUGCACGAUCGUGGGGGAUAACGAGGCGAAAGCUUUGCUAAUACCGCAUACGAUCUACGGAUGAAAGCAGGGGACCGCAAGGCCUUGCGCGGACGGAGCGGCCGAUGGCAGAUUAGGUAGUUGGUGGGAUAAAAGCUUACCAAGCCGACGAUCUGUAGCUGGUCUGAGAGGAUGAUCAGCCACACUGGGACUGAGACACGGCCCAGACUCCUACGGGAGGCAGCAGUGGGGAAUUUUGGACAAUGGGCGCAAGCCUGAUCCAGCCAUGCCGCGUGCAGGAUGAAGGCCUUCGGGUUGUAAACCGCUUUUGUACGGAACGAAGGGCCUUCUUUUAAUACAGGAGGGUCAUGACGGUACCGUAAGAAUAAGCACCGGCUAACUACGUG
Molecule: ribosomal RNA, 482 nt
Filed under: uncultured bacterium
Lineage: Bacteria
Description: partial 16S ribosomal RNA
Rfam family: Bacterial small subunit ribosomal RNA
Source: RNAcentral